This 795-nucleotide ribosomal RNA is filed under the name uncultured archaeon. RNAcentral describes it as "bacterial SSU rRNA". It matches the Rfam family "Archaeal small subunit ribosomal RNA", at positions 123 to 922 of the family's 1478-position model. The record is from RNAcentral.
GGGAUAACUCGGGAAACUGAGAAUAAUACCCCAUAGUUCACCACGCCUGGAACGGUGGGUGGACCAAAGCUCCGGCGGCAUAGGAUGGGCCUGCGGCGUAUCAGGUUGUAGGGGGUGUAAUGUACCCUCUAGCCCUCUACGCGUACGGGUGUUGAGAGACAUCGCCCGGAGAUGGAUUCUGAGACACGAAUCCAGACCCUACGGGGUGCAGCAGGCGCGAAAACUUGGCAAUGCGAGAAAUCGUGACCAGGGAACUCCAAGUGCAUCGGGUAAGACCGAUGCUUUUCUUGACUCUUCAAAGGUCUUGGAAUAAGGGGUGGGUAAGGACGGUGCCAGCCGCCGCGGUAAUACCGGCGCCCCAAGUGGUAGUCGCUUUUAUUGGGCCUAAAACGUCCGUAGCCGGUCUGGUACAUUCGUGGGUAAAUCAACCAGCUCAACUGGUUGAAUUCUGCGAGCACGGCCAGACUUGGGACCGGGAGAGGUGUGGGGUACUCUCAGGGUAGGGGUAAAAUCCUGUCAUCCUGAGAGGACCACCUGUUGCGAAGGCGCCACACUAGAACGGAUCCGACGGUCAGGGACGAAGCCUAGGGGCACGAACCGGAUUAGAUACCCGGGUAGUCCUAGGUGUAAACGCUGUGGACUUGAUGUUGGGGGCGCUCCGAGCGCACUCAGUGUCGAAGCGAAGGUGAUAAGUCCACUGCCUGGGGAGUACGGUCGCAAGGCUGAAACUUAAAGGAAUUGGCGGGGGAGCACCGCAACCUGAGGAUUGUGCGGUUUAAUUGGAUCAACGCCGGG